UGAAAUGAGUAACGCUCUCAAAAAAUAAAACUAAGUGCAUGUCUGAUAGUGUCAUCCCAGAUUAACCUGUGCAGUCAGGAACAAUACUUUCAACCUAGACUGGGCUUUCAUUGAGAAGAAACUUCUUGUAAAAGUAAAAUCCCAUAAAAGCACAAAGAUUUGUCCAUGAUUAGCCCGGAGUGCACAGGCUAAUAUGGGAUUUACUCACAUGAAUUAAGCCCAAUCUUUAGAGCCCAGCUCAUAUGUUUGGAUAUAAAAGUUUGUUGAAUCUUUCCCGCUUAGAAACAUAGUUUGACGCAUUUGUAGUCACUUAAAAAUUAACAAAAAUGAAAGAACUCUCUCAGUCGAUUCAAUUUUAAAGGCUUCUUUUCCAAUCCUAAGAAACUUAUUUACGGUAAACAGCAUAAAACCUGAACACAGAACAGGCUGCGAGUUACUUGUUCUGGUUUAUUGUUUGUUGCAUAUAGCCAUUUUCACUUUGUUUCAGAUUGGGAAAGGUUAACAAUUAUUAGGAGUUCUGUGUUUUAUUUGUUGAACUCCCAACAUAUAUAGCUUGAGAGGAAAUAUAUUUGCACUUUGUCAAUCAGCUAUUUGGUCCAUCCUCAUAUAAUGUCAUAAAUUUGUUCAUUUCUUGCUAAGUUGGUAUAGUGCUUGACAACAAAUGCGAAGAUCACGUGUUUUAUUCCUUGCCCAGUCAUAAAACUUAUGACUGUGGUAAUUGGUCAUACAAACCUUUCUUCGUCCAUAAUGCCCUUAUAUCAGAUUCAUGUUGGGCAUUUGUCAGCUACUGGCAUAAUAAUGUUGUAUCCCCCAAAAAAGUGUGUUGCUUAACCGACUUCUAUGUAGUGACUGAAGUACUGUUGAAAAUAGUGAAAAGGCCAACUAAGCAAAGCGACAAACUUCCACAUUUCUCAUCUGUAUCAAUUAUUUUUAAAUAUGUGAUCACCAUGAAGUGUUCACUUGCAUGACACUUACAUUUGUGUCCAAUUUUCAUUCCAGUUAUUUGCCAUUGAACAUACCAGACAAAUUUGUGUGUUGGUAUGAGUUUCGUUUUAUUUCGGUUUAUUCUACAGUUCUUCAAAAUUUAAUAACUGGAAUACGCACCACGCUUGCUAAUUCAUAUGCUUAUUCAAGCAUGCCAAAUAUCUAAUUUUGAAAAGGACUACAUCAACAAUAUUUUAUUUAUUUCAAACUUGUCUUGUCGAAGUGAUGCUGUAAUAAGCAUUACUUAACCAACGCAAUAACUCAUGAGAAAUCCAGGAAGAUUUCAUCAUUCUUAAAAUUUCCUUGUAUUUCAUUAAAUCAUUGAUGGGCUGUGGGUUUCUGAACAAGUGCUUUAAAGUACAUGUUCUUGAUUGUAUUUAUCAAAAGAAACAAGUUAUUUUUAUUAUGCCUCCGAAGGAGGGCAUUUAGUGAUCGGACCGUCCGUCCUUCCGUCACACUUGCAUUUAUGUCCUUCCGUCACACUUGCAUUUAGGUUUCGCAUUUAGGUUUUGAAAAAUGCUCAUAACUUCUAUGUCCCUUCACAUAGCAACUUGAUAUUUGGCAUGCAUGUGUAUCUCAUGGAGCUGCACAUUUUGAGUGGUGAAAGGUCAAGGUCAUCCUUCACAAGGUCAAGGUCAUCCUACAAUGUCAAACAUCAUAUAGGGGGACAUUGUGUUUCACAAACGCAUCUUGUUUUCUUUGAAUAUGCUUACAAAAAUCAAGGCUUAUCAUGUAUGUAUUUCUUUGUUAUAAGCAGGAUAUUAUGAACACGAAUUGCUUGGACUACAUGUAUUUUGGCAGUUUUUAAAUUAAGUUCACAAUGAAUUAAUUGAUUAAAUUGAUAUUGUUUUUAGAAAUUAUUCAUUUAAGUAACUUUUAUUAAAAUAACAGGUACUGGUAGACAUACCAGCUGGUUGUGCUCAAGGUUGAUGUGUUCUGUUUUUAUCUACAGUAUACUACAGAAUUCUGACCUUUUUUUCAGGGAAGUUUUGAAAACAGUAUUGAUUUUUUACUGUUAAUGUUAUUGUUUUUCGCAAAAAAUAUUAUAUCGUGAAGUAAUCAUUAUAUGACUCCUCAUAUCUUCCCUUGGGUGGAAAUCAAGACCUCUCAAUCAAAAGAUUAUUGCCUUACAUUUUAGCAAACACCAAAAAACACUGUAAAUUGUUUAAGCACUUCUGUUACAAUCUAGUUGAUGUAUUCCUCAACAAAGGAUCACUCAUUUACAAAACUGUAGUUUUAAGUUUUAAUUAUAUGUAUAGUAUUUGUUCUGUUUCCACAGUAUGUCACUCAUUUGACGAUAUGUGAACAUGUCAGUUGUAAAUUGGAAUAAUAUGAAGCAGUCAGUUUUGUUAUUGUAAACACAUUCCAGAAUGAAUGUCUGUGUAGACAUAGAGCAUAUUGUCUGUUGUAUUCUGCAACAGUCCAUUUAUUACAUUACUUCUUGAUUUGUCAGGACUGCAUAUUUUUUAACAACACAUAGGAGCAGCAUCAUGCGAAAAUGGUUGUUAUUCCAUAUGCGGCAAACACAGCUGCAAACAGUUUGUAAAUUUACGCAGUCUGGUCUGAAGCUAAGCUGUCAGUUAUUCCGACCAUGAAACAUUGUUUGUGUUACUUUUAAGGGGAUUGAGAAGUUUCUGACCAGAAUGUGCAUUUUACCCAUUUUCACAAUGACUCGGCUCAUACUAGAUCUGUGCAAUCUAUAUCACUGUAAUUUUUCUUUGUUUUUUCUUAGAGGAUUGUGUCAUCGUUAUUUCUAGUAGAGUACUUAUGAUCUAUUUAUUGACUUACAUAAUCAUAAGAGAUCUAUUUAUUGACUUACAUAAUCAUAAGAGAACAAUCACUUUGAUCUUCAGGUAAGUACUCAAGCAAAAAUUGCAUCAAAUAGAUUACACAUAUUUUCAACAGCCUUUAGUUAUCAUUAAAUUGCUUUUAUUAAUUGUUCAAAGUUUACUUACCAUCCACAUUAGAAUAUGAUACCAAAGAAAGAACGGGACAUUAACAGGAGAAUAUCAAAAGAGCCUACUGCUUAUUAUAUUAUUGAAUAAUGUAUCAUGUAUGUGAGUGCAUCUCAGAUUUUACUUGUAUUUCACUCUACUUUUUUUAAUACUUUAGACUUGUUUAGGCUUUUACCAAAAGAUAUUACAGUUCAAUCAUUCCAUGUAUUUUCUUGCAGGGAUGUAUGUUGUUAUUGCAUGUCGAAUAGUUAAAAUAUUUUAUAUAAUAAUCGUCUUUUUAAGCUUUAUUGCUGUUAAAUUCUUGAAAAAAACUUUUGUAUCUUAAAUGAGCCAAUAAAUACAACUAAUGUU
Dreissena polymorpha is the source of this 3290-nucleotide long non-coding RNA. RefSeq lists it as uncharacterized. The transcript is spliced from 2 exons. Lineage: Eukaryota; Metazoa; Mollusca; Bivalvia; Myida; Dreissenidae. The record is from RefSeq and is a predicted model, not a curated record.